UACGAAGGUGGCAAGCGUUGUUCGGAUUUACUGGGCGUACAGGGAGCGUAGGCGGUUGGAUAAGCCCUCCGUGAAAUCUCCAGGCUUAACCUGGAAAGUGCAGAGGGGACUGUUCAGCUAGAGGAUGGGAGAGGAGCGCGGAAUUCCCGGUGUAGCGGUGAAAUGCGUAGAGAUCGGGAGGAAGGCCGGUGGCGAAGGCGGCGCUCUGGAACAUUUCUGACGCUGAGGCGCGAAAGCUAGGGGAGCAAACGGG
Molecule: ribosomal RNA, 253 nt
Filed under: uncultured bacterium
Lineage: Bacteria
Description: partial 16S ribosomal RNA
Rfam family: Bacterial small subunit ribosomal RNA
Source: RNAcentral